UGGGGAAUAUUGCACAAUGGGCGCAAGCCUGAUGCAGCCAUGCCGCGUGUAUGAAGAAGGCCUUCGGGUUGUAAAGUACUUUCAGCGGGGAGGAAGGGAGUAAAGUUAAUACCUUUGCUCAUUGACGUUACCCGCAGAAGAAGCACCGGCUAACUCCGUGCCAGCAGCCGCGGUAAUACGGAGGGUGCAAGCGUUAAUCGGAAUUACUGGGCGUAAAGCGCACGCAGGCGGUUUGUUAAGUCAGAUGUGAAAUCCCCGGGCUCAACCUGGGAAAUGCAUCUGAUACUGGCAAGCUUGAGUCUCGUAGAGGGGGGUAGAAUGCCAGGUGUAGCGGUGAAAUGCGUAGAGAUCUGGAGGAAGACCGGUGGCGAAGGCGGCCCCCUGGACGAAGACUGACGCGCAGGUGCGAAAGCGUGGGGAGCAAACAGG
This 429-nucleotide ribosomal RNA is filed under the name Chloroflexota bacterium. Its description in RNAcentral is "Chloroflexi bacterium partial 16S ribosomal RNA". It matches the Rfam family "Bacterial small subunit ribosomal RNA", at positions 355 to 776 of the family's 1533-position model. Lineage: Bacteria; Bacillati; Chloroflexota. The record is from RNAcentral.